UUCCAGACUCCUACGGGAGGCAGCAGUGGGGAAUAUUGCACAAUGGGGGAAACCCUGAUGCAGCGACGCCGCGUGAAGGAAGAAGUAUCUCGGUAUGUAAACUUCUAUCAGCAGGGAAGAAAACAGACGGUACCUGACUAAGAAGCCCCGGCUAACUACGUGCCAGCAGCCGCGGUAAUACGUAUGGUGCAAGCGUUAUCCGGAUUUACUGGGUGUAAAGGGAGCGUAGACGGUUCUGCAAGCCAGAUGUGAAAGCCCGGGGCUCAACCCCGGGACUGCAUUUGGAACUGUAAGGCUAGAGUGUCGGAGAGGCAGGCGGAAUUCCUAGUGUAGCGGUGAAAUGCGUAGAUAUUAGGAGGAACACCAGUGGCGAAGGCGGCCUGCUGGACGAUGACUGACGUUGAGGCUCGAAAGCGUGGGGAGCAAACAGGAUUAGAUACCCCCGUA
RNAcentral lists this ribosomal RNA (447 nucleotides) under uncultured bacterium. RNAcentral describes it as "bacterial SSU rRNA". It matches the Rfam family "Bacterial small subunit ribosomal RNA", at positions 329 to 792 of the family's 1533-position model. The record is from RNAcentral.